RNAcentral lists this ribosomal RNA (384 nucleotides) under Lindneromyia sp. CAN4. Its description in RNAcentral is "partial 16S ribosomal RNA". The record is from RNAcentral. Lineage: Eukaryota; Metazoa; Arthropoda; Insecta; Diptera; Platypezidae.
UCGAAGGUAGCAUAAUCAGUAGUCUUUUAAUUGAAGGCUUGUAUGAAUGGUUGGACGAAAUAUUAACUGUUUCAUUUAAAAUUUUUAUAGAAUUUUAUUUUUUAGUCAAAAAGCUAAAAUAUUAUUAAAAGACGAGAAGACCCUAUAAAUCUUGAUAUUUAUAAUAAUUUUAAUUAUUAAGAUUAUUUAAAUUAUAAUUAUUAAAAAUAUUUUAUUGGGGUGAUAUUAAAAUUUAAAAAACUUUUAAUUUUGUUUUUACAUUAAUUUAUGAUUAUAUGAUCCAUUAAUAAUGAUUAAAAAUUUAAGUUACUUUAGGGAUAACAGCGUAAUUUUUUUGGAGAGUUCAUAUUGAUAAAAAAGAUUGCGACCUCGAUGUUGGAUUAA